This 485-nucleotide ribosomal RNA is filed under the name uncultured bacterium. RNAcentral describes it as "partial 16S ribosomal RNA". It matches the Rfam family "Bacterial small subunit ribosomal RNA", at positions 28 to 523 of the family's 1533-position model. The record is from RNAcentral.
AGUGAACGUUGGUGGCGUGGAUUAGGCAUGCAAGUCGCGCGGAAAGGCCCCGCAAGGGGCACUCGAGCGGCGUAAGGGAUAGUAACACGUGGGUAACCUACCCCUGGGACUGGGAUAGCUGCGGGAAACUGCAGGUAAUACCGGAUCACGUCCCCGGACCAACGGUGUGAUUCCGCCUGGGGAUGGGCACGCUUCCUAUUAGCUAGUUGGCAGGGUAACGGCCUACCAAGGCAAAGAUGGGUAGGGGGUGUGAGAGCACGACCCCCAUCACUGGGACUGAGACACUGCCCAGACACCUACGGGUGGCUGCAGUCGAGAAUCUUCGGCAAUGGGCGCAAGCCUGACCGAGCGACGCCGCGUGCGGGAUGAAGGCCCUCGGGUUGUAAACCGCUGUCAGAGGGAAAGAAGUGCUGGGGGGUUCUCCCUUCAGUUUGACUGACCCUCAGAGGAAGUACGGGCUAAGUUCGUGCCAGCCGCCGCAGUAA